RNAcentral lists this ribosomal RNA (387 nucleotides) under uncultured bacterium. Its description in RNAcentral is "bacterial SSU rRNA". It matches the Rfam family "Bacterial small subunit ribosomal RNA", at positions 29 to 437 of the family's 1533-position model. The record is from RNAcentral.
AACGAACGCUGGCGGCAGGCUUAACACAUGCAAGUCGAACGAUGUAGCAAUACAUAGUGGCGCACGGGUGAGUAACGCGUGGGAAUAUACCUUAUAGUGGGGGAAUAACUUUGGGAAACUAAAGCUAAUACCGCAUACGCCCGAGAGGGGAAAGAUUUAUCGCCAUAAGAUUAGCCCGCGUGAGAUUAGGUAGUUGGUGGGGUAAUGGCCUACCAAGCCUACGAUCUCUAGCUGGUCUGAGAGGAUGAUCAGCCACACUGGAACUGAGACACGGUCCAGACUCCUACGGGAGGCAGCAGUGGGGAAUAUUGGGCGAAUAGGAGGGAAAACGUACUGACCCAGCAUGCCGCCGUGAAUGAUGAAGGCCUUAGGUUGUAAGUUACUUUC